This 889-nucleotide ribosomal RNA is filed under the name uncultured bacterium. RNAcentral describes it as "bacterial SSU rRNA". It matches the Rfam family "Bacterial small subunit ribosomal RNA", at positions 8 to 916 of the family's 1533-position model. The record is from RNAcentral.
AGAGUUUGAUCAUGGCUCAGGACGAACGCUGGCGGCGUGCCUAACACAUGCAAGUCGAGCGAGGGGAGUUCUUCGGAACGAACCUAGCGGCGGACGGGUGAGAACACGUGGGUAACCUGCCUCAAAGAGGGGGAUAGCCUUCCGAAAGGAAGAUUAAUACCGCAUAAUCCAUUGUUUCCGCAUGGGGAUGAUGGUAAAGAUUUAUCGCUUUGAGAUGGACCCGCGGCGCAUUAGCUAGUUGGUGAGGUAAUGGCUCACCAAGGCGACGAUGCGUAGCCGACCUGAGAGGGUGAUCGGCCACAUUAGAACUGAGACACGGUCCAGACUCCUACGGGAGGCAGCAGUGGGGAAUAUUGCACAAUGGGCGCAAGCCUGAUGCAGCAACGCCGCGUGAGUGAUGAAGGUCUUCGGAUUGUAAAGCUCUGUCUUUUGGGACGAUAAUGACGGUACCAAAGGAGGAAGCCACGGCUAACUACGUGCCAGCAGCCGCGGUAAUACGUAGGUGGCAAGCGUUGUCCGGAUUUACUGGGCGUAAAGGGUGCGUAGGUGGAUAUUUAAGUCAGAUGUGAAACCCCUGGGCUCAACUCAGGGACUGCAUUUGAAACUGGAUAUCUGGAGUGCAGGAGAGGUAAGUGGAAUUCCUAGUGUAGCGGUGAAAUGCGUAGAGAUUAGGAAGAACACCAGUGGCGAAGGCGACUUACUGGACUGUAACUGACACUGAGGCACGAAAGCGUGGGUAGCAAACAGGAUUAGAUACCCUGGUAGUCCACGCCGUAAACGAUGAGUACUAGGUGUAGGGGGUAUCGACUCCCUCUGUGCCGCAGUUAACACAAUAAGUACUCCGCCUGGGAAGUACGAUCGCAAGAUUAAAACUCAAAGGAAUUGACGG